RNAcentral lists this ribosomal RNA (448 nucleotides) under uncultured bacterium. RNAcentral's name for it is "bacterial SSU rRNA". It matches the Rfam family "Bacterial small subunit ribosomal RNA", at positions 330 to 794 of the family's 1533-position model. The record is from RNAcentral.
CCCAGACUCCUACGGGAGGCAGCAGUGGGGGAUAUUGCACAAUGGGGGGAACCCUGAUGCAGCGACGCCGCGUGGGUGAAGGAGCGUUUCGGCGCGUAAAGCCCUAUCGGCAGGGAAGAAGGAGGACGGUACCUGACUAAGAAGCCCCGGCUAACUACGUGCCAGCAGCCGCGGUAAUACGUAGGGGGCAAGCGUUAUCCGGAUUUACUGGGUGUAAAGGGGGCGCAGACGGCAGCGCAAGCCAGGAGUGAAAGCCCGGGGCCCAACCCCGGGACUGCUCUUGGAACUGCGCGGCUGGAGUGCAGGAGGGGCAGGCGGAAUUCCUGGUGUAGCGGUGAAAUGCGUAGAUAUCAGGAGGAACACCGGUGGCGAAGGCGGCCUGCUGGACUGCAACUGACGUUGAGGCCCGAAAGCGUGGGGAGCAAACAGGAUUAGAUACCCUGGUAGA